RNAcentral lists this long non-coding RNA (246 nucleotides) under Coturnix japonica (Japanese quail). Its description in RNAcentral is "lncRNA (ENSCJPG00005000387.1)". Lineage: Eukaryota; Metazoa; Chordata; Aves; Galliformes; Phasianidae. The record is from RNAcentral.
AUGGAGACUGUACCAAACCCAUUUCACCAGGAGCAUGUCAUCUCAGGAGGCCUGGUUGUGAGCCUGGUUCCUUUGAACACCGCGAAUCCAGGAGGUUCAGCAGGCAAUGCAGUGUUUACAAAACAAGACUUUAUGCUGUACAGAAUGGGAGUAAAUGCCCGUAAGCUGUCGCAGAAGAGGAACAUGCUGUACCAACCUGCUCACCACACAGGUCUGAUUUACAAAAGCACUUCAUCGCUGACCUAA